UACGGAGGAUCCGAGCGUUAUCCGGAUUUAUUGGGUUUAAAGGGUGCGCAGGCGGACUGGUAAGUCAGGGGUGAAAAUCUACGGCUCAACUGUAGACGUGCCUUUGAUACUGCCGGACUAGAGUUAAGAUGGAGUGGGCGGAAUGUGUUGUGUAGCGGUGAAAUGCUUAGAUAUAACACAGAACACCGAUCGCGAAGGCAGCUCACUAAACUUUGACUGACGCUCAUGCACGAAAGCGUGGGGAUCAAACAGGAUUAGAUACCCUGGUAGUCCACGCUGUAAACGAUGAUCACUCGCUGUUGGCGAUAUACCGUCAGUGGCUAAGCGAAAGUGAUAAGUGAUCCACCUGGGGAGUACGACCGCAAGGUUGAA
RNAcentral lists this ribosomal RNA (372 nucleotides) under uncultured bacterium. Its description in RNAcentral is "bacterial SSU rRNA". It matches the Rfam family "Bacterial small subunit ribosomal RNA", at positions 524 to 898 of the family's 1533-position model. The record is from RNAcentral.